This 73-nucleotide transfer RNA is filed under the name Candidatus Blochmannia vicinus (nom. nud.). RNAcentral describes it as "Candidatus Blochmannia vicinus tRNA-Pro". It matches the Rfam family "tRNA". Rfam says of the family: Transfer RNA (tRNA) molecules are approximately 80 nucleotides in length. Their secondary structure includes four short double-helical elements and three loops (D, anti-codon, and T loops). Further hydrogen bonds mediate the characteristic L-shaped molecular structure. tRNAs have two regions of fundamental functional importance: the anti-codon, which is responsible for specific mRNA codon recognition, and the 3' end, to which the tRNAs corresponding amino acid is attached (by aminoacyl-tRNA synthetases). tRNAs cope with the degeneracy of the genetic code in two manners: having more than one tRNA (with a specific anti-codon) for a particular amino acid; and 'wobble' base-pairing, i.e. permitting non-standard base-pairing at the 3rd anti-codon position. The record is from RNAcentral. Lineage: Bacteria; Pseudomonadati; Pseudomonadota; Gammaproteobacteria; Enterobacterales; Enterobacteriaceae.
UGGUAAGGGUGUAGUUUGGUAGUGUAAUAUGUUUGGAUCGUAUAGGUCGAAGGUUUAAAUCCUUCUUUACCGA